RNAcentral lists this transfer RNA (72 nucleotides) under Cryptoheros cutteri. RNAcentral describes it as "tRNA-Val". It matches the Rfam family "tRNA". From Rfam's summary of the family: Transfer RNA (tRNA) molecules are approximately 80 nucleotides in length. Their secondary structure includes four short double-helical elements and three loops (D, anti-codon, and T loops). Lineage: Eukaryota; Metazoa; Chordata; Actinopteri; Cichliformes; Cichlidae. The record is from RNAcentral.
CAGGAUGUAGCUAAGACAGCAAAGCAUCUCCCUUACACCGAGAAGUCACCCGUGCAAAUCCGGUCAUCCUGA